CCAAGCUCGCUCGUUUUAUCUUCUGUCUCCUUCACACGGUGUAUGCGGGAGGCAGGGAAACCUCUUCAAGUACUACGGUAAAACGCCCUAGAUGAGAAGAACUCUGCGCGAUUCUGCGCACUGAAACUGAAAUUUCAAACAUUUUCAUUGGACGCUGUGAGGCGUCAAGGAGCAGGCGCAAAGGAGAAUAUAACUAGUGAAUGCUGAUAUAUGGAAGUUUAGUAGUUGGCGUACUUACGUCCUUUGGCUACUAUCCCUUUUAGGUACUAUGCCACGUGGAGCGUCGUGUCUGGGGUCGUUGACAUUUAACACGGCUAUUUAUAAUUUAUCGAUUUGUACUCCGAUGAACUUACUCUCGGAGGUUAAUUAAUUAUUAUCGUUGUAAGGUAUUCUGAAUGCAAAUAUACUGUAAUAAAAUUAA
Long non-coding RNA from Leptidea sinapis, 421 nucleotides. RefSeq lists it as uncharacterized. NCBI's taxonomy places the organism in Eukaryota, Metazoa, Arthropoda, Insecta, Lepidoptera, Pieridae. The transcript is spliced from 2 exons. The record is from RefSeq and is a predicted model, not a curated record.